GGCGAACGGGUGAGUAACACGUGGGUAAUCUGCCCUCGGCAUCGGGAUAGCCCGGGGAAACCCGGAUUAAUACCGAAUAGACUCCGCGGCUUCGGGCCUCGGAGAAAAGGGUGGCUUCGGCUUCCGGCUGAGGAUGAGCCCGCGGCGGAUUAGCUUGUUGGUGGGGCAACGGCCUACCAAGGCGACGAUCCGUAGCUGGUCUGAGAGGACGAUCAGCCACACUGGGACUGAGCACACGGUCAAGACUCAUACGGGAGGCAGCAGUGGGGAAUCUUGCGCAAUGGGCGAAGGCCUGACGCAGCGACGCCGCGUGCGGGAAGAAGGCCUUCGGGUUGUAAACCGCUUUCAGGAGGGACGAAGCUACUCGGGUUAACAGCCCAGAGGGUGACGGUACCUCCAGAAGAAGCCCCGGCUAACUACGUGCCAGCCGCCGCGG
Molecule: ribosomal RNA, 436 nt
Filed under: uncultured bacterium
Lineage: Bacteria
Description: bacterial SSU rRNA
Rfam family: Bacterial small subunit ribosomal RNA
Source: RNAcentral